AAACGUAGGAGGCAAGCGUUAUCCGGAUUUACUGGGCGUAAAGCGCGUGUAGGCGGUACGGCAAGUUGGAUGUGAAAGCUCCUGGCUUAACUGGGAGAGGUCGUUCAAAACUGUCGAACUAGAGUAUGAGAGAGGGAGGUGGAAUUCCGGGUGUAGUGGUGAAAUGCGUAGAUAUCCGGAGGAACACCAGUGGCGAAAGCGGCCUCCCGGCUCAAAACUGACGCUCAGACGCGAAAGCUAGGGUAGC
RNAcentral lists this ribosomal RNA (247 nucleotides) under uncultured bacterium. RNAcentral describes it as "partial 16S ribosomal RNA". It matches the Rfam family "Bacterial small subunit ribosomal RNA", at positions 523 to 769 of the family's 1533-position model. The record is from RNAcentral.